This 66-nucleotide transfer RNA is filed under the name marine eukaryotic metagenome. It matches the Rfam family "tRNA", at positions 5 to 66 of the family's 71-position model. Rfam says of the family: Transfer RNA (tRNA) molecules are approximately 80 nucleotides in length. Their secondary structure includes four short double-helical elements and three loops (D, anti-codon, and T loops). The record is from RNAcentral.
CCGUAGCUCAGUGGCAGAGCGGUCGGCUCAUAACCGAUUGGUCGUAGGUUCGAAUCCUGCCGGGCC